This 116-nucleotide ribosomal RNA is filed under the name Salinivibrio costicola. RNAcentral also lists the same sequence under 3 other names. The record is from RNAcentral. Lineage: Bacteria; Pseudomonadati; Pseudomonadota; Gammaproteobacteria; Vibrionales; Vibrionaceae.
CUUGGCGACCAUAGCGCUUUGGACCCACCUGAUCCCAUGCCGAACUCAGUAGUGAAACGAAGCAGCGCCGAUGGUAGUGUGGGGUCUCCCCAUGUGAGAGUAGGACAUCGCCAGGC